CUUACCAACCCGAUGCAAACUGCGAAUACCGGAGAAUGUUAUCACGGGAGACACACGGCGGGUGCUAACGUCCGUCGUGAAGAGGGAAACAACCCAGACCGCCAGCUAAGGUCCCAAAGUCAUGGUUAAGUGGGAAACGAUGUGGGAAGGCCCAGACAGCCAGGAUGUUGGCUUAGAAGCAGCCAUCAUUUAAAGAAAGCGUAAUAGCUCACUGGUCGAGUCGGCCUGCGCGGAAGAUGUAACGGGGCUAAACCAUGCACCGAAGCUGCGGCAGCGACACUAUGUGUUGUUGGGUAGGGGAGCGUUCUGUAAGCCUGUGAAGGUGGCCUGUGAGGGUUGCUGGAGGUAUCAGAAGUGCGAAUGCUGACAUAAGUAACGAUAAAGCGGGUGAAAAGCCCGCUCGCCGGAAGACCAAGGGUUCCUGUCCAACGUUAAUCGGGGCAGGGUGAGUCGACCCCUAAGGCGAGGCCGAAAGGCGUAGUCGAUGGGAAACAGGUUAAUAUUCCUGUACUUGGUGUUACUGCGAAGGGGGGACGGAGAAGGCUAUGUUGGCCGGGCGACGGUUGUCCCGGUUUAAGCGUGUAGGCUGGUUUUCCAGGCAAAUCCGGAAAACCAAGGCUGAGGCGUGAUGACGAGGCACUACGGUGCUGAAGCGACAAAUGCCCUGCUUCCAGGAAAAGCCUCUAAGCAUCAGGUAACAUCAAAUCGUACCCCAAACCGACACAGGUGGUCAGGUAGAGAAUACCAAGGCGCUUGAGAGAACUCGGGUGAAGGAACUAGGCAAAAUGGUGCCGUAACUUCGGGAGAAGGCACGCUGAUAUGUAGGUGAAGCGACUUGCUCGUGGAGCUGAAAUCAGUCGAAGAUACCAGCUGGCUGCAACUGUUUAUUAAAAACACAGCACUGUGCAAACACGAAAGUGGACGUAUACGGUGUGACGCCUGCCCGGUGCCGGAAGGUUAAUUGAUGGGGUUAGCGGUAACGCGAAGCUCUUGAUCGAAGCCCCGGUAAACGGCGGCCGUAACUAUAACGGUCCUAAGGUAGCGAAAUUCCUUGUCGGGUAAGUUCCGACCUGCACGAAUGGCGUAAUGAUGGCCAGGCUGUCUCCACCCGAGACUCAGUGAAAUUGAACUCGCUGUGAAGAUGCAGUGUACCCGCGGCAAGACGGAAAGACCCCGUGAACCUUUACUAUAGCUUGACACUGAACAUUGAGCCUUGAUGUGUAGGAUAGGUGGGAGGCUUUGAAGUGUGGACGCCAGUCUGCAUGGAGCCGACCUUGAAAUACCACCCUUUAAUGUUUGAUGUUCUAACGUUGGCCCGUAAUCCGGGUUGCGGACAGUGUCUGGUGGGUAGUUUGACUGGGGCGGUCUCCUCCUAAAGAGUAACGGAGGAGCACGAAGGUUGGCUAAUCCUGGUCGGACAUCAGGAGGUUAGUGCAAUGGCAUAAGCCAGCUUGACUGCGAGCGUGACGGCGCGAGCAGGUGCGAAAGCAGGUCAUAGUGAUCCGGUGGUUCUGAAUGGAAGGGCCAUCGCUCAACGGAUAAAAGGUACUCCGGGGAUAACAGGCUGAUACCGCCCAAGAGUUCAUAUCGACGGCGGUGUUUGGCACCUCGAUGUCGGCUCAUCACAUCCUGGGGCUGAAGUAGGUCCCAAGGGUAUGGCUGUUCGCCAUUUAAAGUGGUACGCGAGCUGGGUUUAGAACGUCGUGAGACAGUUCGGUCCCUAUCUGCCGUGGGCGCUGGAGAACUGAGGGGGGCUGCUCCUAGUACGAGAGGACCGGAGUGGACGCAUCACUGGUGUUCGGGUUGUCAUGCCAAUGGCACUGCCCGGUAGCUAAAUGCGGAAGAGAUAAGUGCUGAAAGCAUCUAAGCACGAAACUUGC
This 1880-nucleotide ribosomal RNA is filed under the name Escherichia coli. RNAcentral's name for it is "partial 23S ribosomal RNA". It matches the Rfam family "Bacterial large subunit ribosomal RNA", at positions 935 to 2797 of the family's 2925-position model. Lineage: Bacteria; Pseudomonadati; Pseudomonadota; Gammaproteobacteria; Enterobacterales; Enterobacteriaceae. The record is from RNAcentral.